RNAcentral lists this transfer RNA (72 nucleotides) under Candidatus Portiera aleyrodidarum (primary endosymbiont of Bemisia tabaci). Its description in RNAcentral is "tRNA-Glu (TTC) (tRNA-Glu-TTC-1-1)". It matches the Rfam family "tRNA". From Rfam's summary of the family: Transfer RNA (tRNA) molecules are approximately 80 nucleotides in length. Their secondary structure includes four short double-helical elements and three loops (D, anti-codon, and T loops). The record is from RNAcentral. Lineage: Bacteria; Pseudomonadati; Pseudomonadota; Gammaproteobacteria; Johnevansiales (SeqCode); Johnevansiaceae (SeqCode).
GUCCCAUUCGUCUAGUGGUUAGGACAUCACCCUUUCACGGUGACAACAGGGGUUCGAUCCUCCUAUGGGACA